Actinia tenebrosa (Australian red waratah sea anemone) is the source of this 498-nucleotide long non-coding RNA. RefSeq lists it as uncharacterized. The record is from RefSeq and is a predicted model, not a curated record. Lineage: Eukaryota; Metazoa; Cnidaria; Anthozoa; Actiniaria; Actiniidae.
UUCAGUUGCUGAACAUUCUGCAUGAAACAGCAAUUGAAAGCCAACCAUUCUCCAAUUCAAUUCUCCAAUUCUCCAAUUGGAAUUUUUCUGGUCAAAUCUUUUUCUUGUUAGUUAUUUUGACUAGCAAUAUUGAGCCAGGGACGAGACUUACUGACUUAAGCAAACCAAGUGGAUGGUCAAAACCAAAGGCCCGUCUGAGUCUGUCCAGGAAGCCUUUACUUCUUACGGGACGAUAUCAAAGUUAGCAGAAGAGUUACGGGAAAAAAAAAUUCACAAUAAUUAGUCAGAAGAGAUGCGAAAGUGAUAAAGACAAUCCGAGGAAGCACCAGGAGAAUUUAUUCUCACAUAACGAACAGCUUACAAUUAUUAGCCAAGUAGUCCUGCAGGCGCCAGGUUCUCUUAUUAUCGUAAUGAUAUGACCUUUGAAUUGCGCGCGAUUUGAAUUGGGUUUUUGUGAUUAUUAACUUUAUUAAAACAUAAAAAGUGCCAUUCUUAAAA